AGGGGCGGUGGGCCCAAGAAUCAGAGGCCCAUGUUGGUUUGUUUUUGGAAUUUCAGGAUCAGGGGGUGGACUACCAAUCACAUGGGUGCAGUGAAGUAAUACCCCCUUGGGCUUGAUCUUGAAGCCCAACAUGUGAGGGCAAAUGGACGGAGAGGUUUUAAUCUCACUUUAUUUCCAUUUCAUUCACCCAUAUGUGCCUUCUUUCUCUCCUUAAAACAUCCAAGUCGUCAAAAAUUGCCCCACCAUGCCGGAAACCCCUUCCAGCGCCAGGGCACCACCAAACAUCACCAAGCAACCACCUAUGAGUUUGGUUUUAUCUCAUUUCUUCAUUUCUUCAACUCAUUUUCAUCAAAACUCACUGAAACUCUCAAUCCACAAAAAAAUCUCAAGAACUCUAGAUUUUCAUUUUAAAAUUAAAUGGUAACCUAACACCAAUUCGAACCAAAAUCUUAGGGCUUUGAUUCCCUACCAUAAAUACUAUAGCAUGAUAACUAAUUUGAUGCAAAGUAAUGAAGAAUAAAGGGAGCAAGCCUACCUAUAGAGCGGAGGGAUGCUAUGGGAAUUGUUGAACUAUUUAAGAUGAAGAUGGAGAGAAAAAACCCAGAGAUAUGACCAGAAACUGUGUGAACAUGGCUUGGAGGUUGAUUUACAUGAAUAUUGGAUGGACAUGAUGUGAUAGGUCUGCUGCAUUCAUGUAUGGUGCAUGGUUAUUUGAGACGUCAUUGCCUUUGGAAUUGUUUGUGAGUUGUAUUGUAAAUCUGCAUUGCUUUUGAUCCAUAAUAGGACUGUUUGAACUUGAAUUUGUUAGAACAAUAUUUGGUUCUACAUCUGGCCUUUAGUUUUGAUGAUAACAAUAUAUUGUUUCUUAGAGAACAAUUUUGCACGCUAAUGAUUUUUAUCUAGCGUGUAUCUUUUGCUAGCAGGUUCUGACUCUAAAGCAAUGACGUGUGUCAUCAUUAGAUUCUAGAAUCCUCACACUCUGACUCUGAGGAGAUAUAAGUGCUUUACAAGAUGCUGUCAAGUUCUGAAAGCUCUUAGACAACAAUUUUGAUGAACGUUCAUGUUAAAGCUUCUGAAUGUGACUCUGAUUGAAGAGCCUAUAAAGGUUUGUCUACCUUCAAGAUUCUGUGCUCAAGUUUCGAAGAUUCUGAAGAACAAGAUCUGAAGACUCUGAAGACCCAGUUCUGAGGAAUUGUGUCAAGACUCUAAAAACCAAGGUUCUGAAGAUUCUGAUAACUUGUCUCUUGAUCCUUCUAAGCAUGCUUCAAUAUCAUUUCAUCAGAAGCCUAUGAAGAUUAUAAGAUAAGAUCAAAAGGUUUUGCAUCAGGAAAAUAGUACACAAUAUAAGAUCAUCCUUCCAUCCACUACGCUGAUUUUGUGGGCUAAGGACAUUCUAUUGUACCAUUUUUCCUCCUAUAUGCAACCCGUUAUGAAAGAGACAACUGUAAUACAACAUCCCAAUUCUAACCUCCAAUGGUUCUUUUAUAUGCCUAUAUAAAGGAUACGUGAAGAUUAGAAGAAGUUGCUAAUGCUAAUUUAAUGCGCUCAUAACUACGCUAUUACACACGCUCUUGCUGAAAUAAUAUUAUUUAUGUGUAUAGUUUUGUAAACACACUAGAGAUUUUGCUCGUUACCGUGUGAGAAAUAUUCAUUGUAUUAACUUGUGUUAAUCUGAUUUCUUAGAAGCAUUCUCUGUAAACACAACUUGUAAAUCUCAAAUCUGUUUGAGUGGUUUCCUUGAGUGACUAGGUUUUAGUCAGAUAGACUUAAGAAGGCAACGACGAUUUGUCUUUGUGGUGUUUGUAAUUAGGUUUUGAUUAUAGUGGAUUAAGUCUUUCUUGAGAAGGCGAAAUCACCUCGGUAGGGUGGAUUGGAGGUAGCUUCGCUAACAACGAAUCAGUAUAAAAACAAUUUUUUUA
Lathyrus oleraceus (garden pea) is the source of this 1919-nucleotide long non-coding RNA. RefSeq lists it as uncharacterized. NCBI's taxonomy places the organism in Eukaryota, Viridiplantae, Streptophyta, Magnoliopsida, Fabales, Fabaceae. The transcript is spliced from 2 exons. The record is from RefSeq and is a predicted model, not a curated record.